GGGCCCGUGGUCUAGCGGCAUGACGUCUCGUUGACGUCGAGGAGGUCCCCGGUUCGAUUCCGGGCGGGCCCA
Molecule: transfer RNA, 72 nt
Filed under: Candidatus Woesearchaeota archaeon
Lineage: Archaea; Nanobdellati; Candidatus Woesearchaeota
Description: tRNA-Val
Rfam family: tRNA
About the family: Transfer RNA (tRNA) molecules are approximately 80 nucleotides in length. Their secondary structure includes four short double-helical elements and three loops (D, anti-codon, and T loops).
Source: RNAcentral